GACUGGACAUGCAGAUCUUUCCGAGACCAGGGAUGAUGCUUUAGUGUAUCCCAUAGUCCUGGAGCACAGAUGCACACAGCAGUUAAGUCACAAAAGCAAUCCCUUCGGUGUCGCCAGCUAACUCUUGCUUUUCUUUGGUGGACCAUUGCAAAGAUGGACUCCGUCCCUGAUUCUAGACUGUCCAGCAUUUUUAUUAGUGCCAUGAGCAGAAAUACAGAAGUUCCCAUUUCCUCAAUUACAGAGGGCAUGGUAGUGGGAGGGAGAGUGGAAAGACCUCCAGUGAAAAAAUCUGAAUCGGCCUGGACAAUGAACACCUCCAUGCAUAUCCCUUCAUGA
RNAcentral lists this long non-coding RNA (336 nucleotides) under Callithrix jacchus (white-tufted-ear marmoset). RNAcentral's name for it is "lncRNA (ENSCJAG00000054106.2)". Lineage: Eukaryota; Metazoa; Chordata; Mammalia; Primates; Cebidae. The record is from RNAcentral.